GGAGCUGAAGUCAGUCGAAGAUACCAGCUGGCUGCAACUGUUUAUUAAAAACACAGCACUGUGCAAACACGAAAGUGGACGUAUACGGUGUGACGCCUGCCCGGUGCCGGAAGGUUAAUUGAUGGGGUCAGCGCAAGCGAAGCUCCUGAUCGAAGCCCCGGUAAACGGCGGCCGUAACUAUAACGGUCCUAAGGUAGCGAAAUUCCUUGUCGGGUAAGUUCCGACCUGCACGAAUGGCGUAAUGAUGGCCAGGCUGUCUCCACCCGAGACUCAGUGAAAUUGAACUCGCUGUGAAGAUGCAGUGUACCCGCGGCAAGACGGAAAGACCCCGUGAACCUUUACUAUAGCUUGACACUGAACAUUGAGCCUUGAUGUGUAGGAUAGGUGGGAGGCUUUGAAGUGUGGACGCCAGUCUGCAUGGAGCCGACCUUGAAAUACCACCCUUUAAUGUUUGAUGUUCUAACGUGGACCCGUAAUCCGGGUUGCGGACAGUGUCUGGUGGGUAGUUUGACUGGGGCGGUCUCCUCCUAAAGAGUAACGGAGGAGCACGAAGGUUGGCUAAUCCUGGUCGGACAUCAGGAGGUUAGUGCAAUGGCAUAAGCCAGCUUGACUGCGAGCGUGACGGCGCGAGCAGGUGCGAAAGCAGGUCAUAGUGAUCCGGUGGUUCUGAAUGGAAGGGCCAUCGCUCAACGGAUAAAAGGUACUCCGGGGAUAACAGGCUGAUACCGCCCAAGAGUUCAUAUCGACGGCGGUGUUUGGCACCUCGAUGUCGGCUCAUCACAUCCUGGGGCUGAAGUAGGUCCCAAGGGUAUGGCUGUUCGCCAUUUAAAGUGGUACGCGAGCUGGGUUUAGAACGUCGUGAGACAGUUCGGUCCCUAUCUGCCGUGGGCGCUGGAGAACUGAGGGGGGCUGCUCCUAGUACGAGAGGACCGGAGUGGACGCAUCACUGGUGUUCGGGUUGUCAUGCCAAUGGCACUGCCCGGUAGCUAAAUGCGGAAGAGAUAAGUGCUGAAAGCAUCUAAGCACGAAACUUGCCCCGAGAUGAGUUCUCCCUGAGACUUUAGGUCUCCUGAAGGAACGUUGAAGACGACGACGUUGAUAGGCCGGGUGUGUAAGCGCAGCGAUGCGUUGAGCUAACCGGUACUAAUGAACCGUGAGGCUUAACCUU
RNAcentral lists this ribosomal RNA (1168 nucleotides) under Salmonella enterica. Its description in RNAcentral is "partial 23S ribosomal RNA". It matches the Rfam family "Bacterial large subunit ribosomal RNA", at positions 1763 to 2925 of the family's 2925-position model. The record is from RNAcentral. Lineage: Bacteria; Pseudomonadati; Pseudomonadota; Gammaproteobacteria; Enterobacterales; Enterobacteriaceae. RNAcentral also lists the same sequence under 9 other names.